RNAcentral lists this ribosomal RNA (432 nucleotides) under uncultured bacterium. Its description in RNAcentral is "partial 16S ribosomal RNA". It matches the Rfam family "Bacterial small subunit ribosomal RNA", at positions 29 to 507 of the family's 1533-position model. The record is from RNAcentral.
AACGAACGCUGGCGGCAUGCCUAACACAUGCAAGUCGAACGAGACCUUCGGGUCUAGUGGCGCACGGGUGCGUAACGCGUGGGAACCUGCCCUUAGGUUCGGAAUAACUCCCCGAAAGGGGUGCUAAUACCGGAUAAUGUCUUCGGACCAAAGAUUUAUCGCCUUUGGAUGGGCCCGCGUUGGAUUAGCUAGUUGGUAGGGUAAAAGCCUACCAAGGCGACGAUCCAUAGCUGGUCUGAGAGGGUGGACAGCCACACUGGGACUGAGACACGGCCCAGACCCCGACGGGGGGAAGCAGUGGGGAAUUUUGGACAAGGGGGGAAAGCCUGAUGCAGCAACGCCGGGGGAUUGAGAAGGGCUUUGGGUUUUAAAAACCUUUUGUCCGGGAAGAAAAAGACAGGACCCGGGGAAUAAGGACCGGCUAAAUACGUG